GGGGGUGAAUUCGCUUUGACAAGAAUUAGUUGGUAAUAUGCAAGUCGAGCCAUUCUCAAAACUCGUAAAACUUGGAGAAAUCAAACUAAGUGUAAACAACUUAUUUGAAGAACCUGCAUUAGCAUACGCAUAGUGCAUGUCCUCCUACCGAUUCUCGCUGGGUAGAAAAGGGCAUAAUCAUUGCGAGAUUGAUAAUAUAUUUUUGAUUUAGAAUAUAUUAUUGAAAAAAUAUAAAUCAAGCUUAAGAUACUUUUUGUCCAAUUUUAUAAUCUUAAGUUAAAACAAAAUUGGAAUAAACUUGUAGAGUUAUUAUUAAAUAAUCUUUGGACGCGGGCUCAUUACUCGCCACCUCCACAA
RNAcentral lists this transfer-messenger RNA (357 nucleotides) under Parcubacteria group bacterium. It matches the Rfam family "transfer-messenger RNA". From Rfam's summary of the family: Bacterial tmRNA, also known as 10Sa RNA or SsrA, is named for its dual tRNA and mRNA-like properties. Its role is to liberate the mRNA from a stalled ribosome. RNAcentral also lists the same sequence under 1 other name. The record is from RNAcentral.